RNAcentral lists this ribosomal RNA (48 nucleotides) under Zieria odorifera subsp. warrabahensis. RNAcentral's name for it is "partial 26S ribosomal RNA". The record is from RNAcentral. Lineage: Eukaryota; Viridiplantae; Streptophyta; Magnoliopsida; Sapindales; Rutaceae.
GCGACCCCAGGUCAGGCGGGACUACCCGCUGAAUUUAAGCAUAUCAAU